This 983-nucleotide long non-coding RNA is filed under the name Homo sapiens (human). RNAcentral's name for it is "HSALNT0218370". Lineage: Eukaryota; Metazoa; Chordata; Mammalia; Primates; Hominidae. The record is from RNAcentral.
CCGGGGCAGGUCUCCGGGAGGGGCAGGUCCGCGGCGUGCCUCCAACCCGGCGCCUGCAGCCCCGGGGCAACAAGGUGUGGGGUUUUUAAUUGAGAAGUUUUUCUCUCUGGGCCUUAUUAUACAGGAAAAGGGAAGGGGCGAAGAUCCGGGCUCGGGUUCUCCCGGGGAAGCGAACCCAGAGGCGACCCCAAACUCAGUAGUUGCCGCCCAGCUCGGGGACUUGAUGCCGGCGUCAAGCGGGGCAGCGGAACGCACCAGCGGCCCGGCCAGCCCAGCGAGAUCCGAGCGGGCGGCCCCGCCAGACAGCGCCACUUGCCCGCGCCGAGAGUGGCCCCUCACCGCGGAUGCUCAGGAGCUUCCAGGUUCAACAGAUGCGUGAGAUCCAUAGCAGAAACAUUGCUGUCCUCUUCAGAUUCAAGUACGGGUGAAAGUCAAGCUCUGGGAUACUGGAGCAGGGCUAUAUAAUUCUCUUUCCCUUGUAAUUUCAUUAAAAAAGAUUAAGGAAACCCUUGAAAAGUUGUAGAUACCUAAAAUUUUGGCCGUGCAUUGAUCAUCCACAAAAAGUGAAAGAUCACAAGUGAUCAAGCCACAUGUGUGAAAAAUCUCAAAUACACUUUGGGAGGCCGAGGCGGGCCGAUCAUAAGGUCAGGAGAUCGACACCAUCCUGGCUAACAGGGUGAAACCCCGUCUCUACUAAAAAUACAAAAAAUUAGCUGGGCAUGGUGGUGGGCACCUGUAGUCCCAGCUACUGGGAAGACUGAGGCAGAAGAAUGGCGUGAACCCGGGAGGCGAAGCUUGCAGUGAGCCGAGAUCGCACCACUGCACUCUAGCCUGGGCAACAGAGCGAGACUCCAUCUCAAAAAAAAAAAAAAAAAAAAAAAGAAAGAAAACUCUCAAAUAACUCUUGAUUCAAAUAGUCAACAUAACUCCUGGAGGAAAAAAAAAAGCAUUUCUACAUUGAGAGAGACAUUGCUAUAGUCCCC